UAAAAGUCGUAACAAGGUUUCUGUAGGUGAACCUGCAGAAGGAUCAUUAGUGAAGAUUUGGGCAGGCCAUACGGACGCCAAAAAGUGUCCCUGGCCGCCUACACCCACUAUACAUCCACAAACCCGUGUGCACUGUCUUGGAGAAAGGCUUCAGAGAAGUUUUUUGUGGCCUCUCUUGGGGUCUUUCUUCGCUACAAACUCGAAUGGUUAGUGUGAACGUGGAACUUGGUUGGACCGUCACUGGCCAACAAACUAUACACAACUUUCGACAACGGAUCUCUUGGUUCUCCCAUCGAUGAAGAACGCAGCGAAACGCGAUAGGUAAUGUGAAUUGCAGAAUUCCGUGAAUCAUCGAAUCUUUGAACGCACCUUGCGCUCUAUGGCAAUCCGUAGAGCAUGCCUGUUUGAGUGCCAUGAAAUCUCCCACCCCAAGCGGUUUUUAAAUGAAACGGCUUGGCGGAUGGGGUCUGGAUGGGUGCCUCUGCCUGCGCUACCUAGCACAGGCUCGCCCGAAAUGCAUGAGCGCCUUGAGACACUUUGCAUCCGCCUCUCUGUUUGGGAGGAGGCGGCCAAGCAGUGUUUUUCUCCUGGCAUGGCAUGAUACGUCAUUUGCUAUGUCGCCUAAAGGAGGAAUGUUUGGUUGUGUCUGCGUGUGCUUCGAACUUGCCUCUGUGGCACAUCCCAAUUUCACUUCUGGUCUCAAAUCAGGUAGGAUCACCCGCUGAACUUAAGCAUAUCAAUA
Molecule: ribosomal RNA, 742 nt
Filed under: uncultured eukaryote
Lineage: Eukaryota
Description: eukaryotic LSU rRNA
Rfam family: 5.8S ribosomal RNA (bases 261-414)
Source: RNAcentral